GAAUCAUUCACAAUGGGCGAAAGCCUGAUGAUGCAAUGCCGCGUGGAGGAUGAAGGCCUUAGGGUCGUAAACUCCUGUCAUUGGGGAGCAACAAAUAGGUUCAUAGCCUAUCAUGAGUUAACCCAAAGAGGAAGAGGUGGCUAACUCCGUGCCAGCAGCCGCGGUAAUACGGAGACCUCGAGCGUUACUCGGAUUCACUGGGCGUAAAGGGUGAGUAGGUGGCCAAGUAUGUCAGGUGUGAAAUCCCGGGGCUUAACCCCGGAACUGCGCCUGAAACUACUUGGCUAGAGUCUCGGAGAGGAUAGUGGAAUUCCAAGUGUAGCGGUGAAAUGCGUAGAUAUUUGGAGGAA
This 350-nucleotide ribosomal RNA is filed under the name uncultured bacterium. Its description in RNAcentral is "bacterial SSU rRNA". It matches the Rfam family "Bacterial small subunit ribosomal RNA", at positions 359 to 706 of the family's 1533-position model. The record is from RNAcentral.